CCUACGGGAGUCUGCAGUGAGGAAUAUUGGUCAAUGGCCGAGAGUCUGAACCAGCCAAGUAGCGUGAAGGAUGCCUGCCCUAUGGGUUGUAAACUUCUUUUAUACAGGAAUAAAACGCGGCACGUGUGCCUUUUUGCAUGUACUUUAUGAAUAAGCAUCGGCUAACUCCGUGCCAGCAGCCGCGGUAAUACGGAGGAUCCGAGCGUUAUCCGGAUUUAUUGGGUUUAAAGGGAGCGUAGAUGGGUUGUUAAGUCAGUUGUUAAAGUUUGCGGCUCAACCGUAAAAUUGCAAUUGAUACUGGCAGUCUUGAGUACAGUUGAGGUAGGCGGAAUUCGUGGUGUAGCGGUGAAAUGCUUAGAUAUCACGAAGAACUCCGAUUGCGAAGGCAGCUUACUAAACUGUGACUGACAUUGAUGCUCGAAAGUGUGGGUAUCAAACAGGAUUAGAUACCCGAGUAGUC
This 460-nucleotide ribosomal RNA is filed under the name uncultured bacterium. RNAcentral describes it as "partial 16S ribosomal RNA". It matches the Rfam family "Bacterial small subunit ribosomal RNA", at positions 338 to 795 of the family's 1533-position model. The record is from RNAcentral.